AGCAGCCGCGGUAAUUCCAGCUCCAAUAGCGUAUAUUAAAGUUGUUGCAGUUAAAAAGCUCGUAGUUGAAUUUCGGGAUCAAUAUGUUGGUCGUGCCUUGGUACGUACUGGCAUUAUUGGUUUCUACCUUCUGAAGAACCUCGAUGUCAUUAAUUUGGUGUCUUGGGGAAUCAGGACUGUUACUUUGAAAAAUUAGAGUGUUUAAAGCAGGCUCGCGCUUGAAUACAUUAGCAUGGAAUAAUGAAAUAGGACGUUUGAUUCUAUUUUGUUGGUUUCUAGGAUCGACGUAAUGAUUAAUAGGGAUAGUUGGGGGCAUUAGUAUUCAAUUGUCAGAGGUGAAAUUCUUGGAUUUAUUGAAGACUAACUACUGCGAAAGCAUUUGCCAAGGAUGUUUUCAUUAAUCAAGAACGAAAGUUAGGGGAUCGAAGACGAUCAGAUACCGUCGUAGUCUUAACCAUAAACUAUGCCGACUAGGGAUCGGAUGAUGUUAAUUUUUAAUGACUCAUUCGGCGCCUUAACC
Molecule: unclassified non-coding RNA, 520 nt
Filed under: uncultured Glomus
Lineage: Eukaryota; Fungi; Glomeromycota; Glomeromycetes; Glomerales; Glomeraceae
Description: SSU rRNA
Rfam family: Eukaryotic small subunit ribosomal RNA
Source: RNAcentral